RNAcentral lists this ribosomal RNA (372 nucleotides) under uncultured organism. RNAcentral's name for it is "partial 16S ribosomal RNA". It matches the Rfam family "Bacterial small subunit ribosomal RNA", at positions 527 to 896 of the family's 1533-position model. The record is from RNAcentral.
GUAGGUGGCAAGCGUUGUCCGGAAUUAUUGGGCGUAAAGCGCGCGCAGGCGGGUUCUUUAAGUCUGAUGUGAAAGCCCACGACUCAACCGUGGAGGGUCAUUGGAAACUGGAGAACUUGAGUACAGAAGAGGAAAGCGGAAUUCCACGUGUAGCGGUGAAAUGCGUAGAGAUGUGGAGGAACACCAGUGGCGAAGGCGGCUUUCUGGUCUGUAACUGACGCUGAGGCGCGAAAGCGUGGGGAGCAAACAGGAUUAGAUACCCUGGUAGUCCACGCCGUAAACGAUGAGUGCUAAGUGUUAGGGGGUUUCCGCCCCUUAGUGCUGCAGCUAACGCAUUAAGCACUCCGCCUGGGGAGUACGGCCGCAAGGCUG